UACGAAGGGGGCUAGCGUUGCUCGGAAUUACUGGGCGUAAAGCGCACGUAGGCGGCUUUCUAAGUCGGGGGUGAAAUCCUGGAGCUCAACUCCAGAACUGCCUUCGAUACUAGAAAGCUCGAGUCCGGGAGAGGUGAGUGGAACUGCGAGUGUAGAGGUGAAAUUCGUAGAUAUUCGCAAGAACACCAGUGGCGAAGGCGGCUCACUGGCCCGGUACUGACGCUGAGGUGCGAAAGCGUGGGGAGCAAACAGG
Molecule: ribosomal RNA, 253 nt
Filed under: uncultured bacterium
Lineage: Bacteria
Description: partial 16S ribosomal RNA
Rfam family: Bacterial small subunit ribosomal RNA
Source: RNAcentral